UGAGAGAACUAGACUAUUGUCUUGCGUUCCCUUGAGGAUUAAAAUCCUCAAGGGAACGCAAGACAAUAGUCUAGUUCUCUCGAACAAUACGAGAACGCUACGAAAACGGUACAGUGUAAACG
Paramuricea clavata is the source of this 122-nucleotide non-coding RNA. The record is from the annotation of a GenBank genome assembly. Lineage: Eukaryota; Metazoa; Cnidaria; Anthozoa; Malacalcyonacea; Plexauridae.